Long non-coding RNA from Sabethes cyaneus, 501 nucleotides. RefSeq lists it as uncharacterized. The record is from RefSeq and is a predicted model, not a curated record. Lineage: Eukaryota; Metazoa; Arthropoda; Insecta; Diptera; Culicidae. The transcript has 3 exons.
CUCUAGUCAACACCAACGACCAACUUACGAUACGAAUUUACAAUAAAAGAUAGGAGUUCAGUUUAUUAUCGUAUUGUAAGGGAAAUAUAUUAAGGAAUGGAGUCUUCAACUAAGAUAGAAGAAAUUAAAAAACUGCAAGAUACCAUUACAACUAUUCGAAAAGAUGUUCCCAAGCUAUAUAAAACAUUUCUAAUGAUGGAAUGCGAGGCUCAAACAUCAGCUUUAGAAAAUGGUAAAUGCAACAUUAAAUCUCAACAAUUGGACAUCAGCCUGCAACGCCCGAUUGAUUUAAAUGGAGCAAAACUGCGAAAAUCUGCAACCGAUAUGAGGGAUCUUUCUGAGCGCACGCAGAUGUUGAGAAAUCUCUGCAAAAAAUAAUUAAACAAAUCUUUAUCAAAACUGUUUUUUUAAAUAAACGCAAUAAUUAUGUAACAUACCUCGAUAUCAAUCAUUCUGCAAGUCCAAAAUCGAAUGUAUUUCAUUGUAAAUCAUUUCUAAGCA